UGCUUCGUACACAUUUAAUGUCUUGAGAAUCACAGAAUACACCAUAAUAUUAUGCUUCUCAAGUCCAAUUAUUAAUCACACAUAGCUGAAACCCUCCGGCUCUUCUAGAAAUCUCCAAGACAUUGUCUCGCCCCAUUAAGCAUGACAUUUGAACCCCCGUCGGGCAUCCUUUUCAGUAUCAUUUCAAUAUAGCAUUCCCAUGAACGGCAUCCAGAAACCUCCGGGCAUCACGCUACAACGUUUCUCAAUGGUGGCAUCAUCCCCCAAAAUCUUCGAUGAUGGAAUCCCUUGUGUGAUCAUACGAAUCAAGUAUACAACCAGUUUUAUCUUUCAUAUUAGUCCAAUGUAUGAAUGCCCCAAGGGCGUGUAGAGCAAUGUGCAACUCAUGACCUAUCAAAAAUGUGUCAAUAAAAUAUGUUGAGCAUGAAAGUAGAAUCGUGGCUUGACCCAUUACGUUUGAGCACCGGCUUGGGUCAAACUUAGAUCAGACGAUACGCCUCAAUAUCACCGGACCAAGAGAGUGAUUUAGCCCAGCGGACUUCCAUGCACAUCUAAGAACCAAGGCUGUUCUAACUUUGAAGGCUUGAUGUGAAUUUCAAGCAUCAAUCAUGACCUGUGGACUUCUAUAUGCGAAGACCACAUCCAUAUUGCAAUGGUAAUCCUUGAAGAUCAAAUCUAAUACUAACACAAAUGGACGAUUUGACCACAAUAGUCAUGACGUAUGAUAAACCACAUCGCAUAACACUUAUACAAUCAAUCAUAAUUGAAGAUGAAGCCUAGGUGUCGAUAACAAAAGGUCCACAAGCAACAACCAUGGUGAUUUUCUUAACACAAGCAAUAACCUAAGCCUAAAUGAACUAUUUCUUCAAAUCAUGCCAACACGAACAACCUCGAUGAUCCCAUACUCACUCCUUGCUCGUCCUUGAGCAUAUAAGGAACAAACCAUACAAAAUUAGUCACAUUAGCUCCUUUACAUAGGAUAGCUCUAAGAACACUAUAACCAAACCUAUAUCCGAUUUAUGUAACGCAAUGGCCUAGCCGAUAUUUAGGAAAUCUACUUACAAACAAUUGAGAUGCAAAAAAUCCGAACGACAGAAGGAUGGCAGCUCAAUAGCACGGCAGCGAUGAUAGCAGGGGGCGGGGAUGACAAGCAAGUGGCGGCAUGUAGCAGUAGGUGGAUGGAUGAGUGGAUGAUGGGAAGUGCAGCGGUGGACGGCUAAGGAGGGAAAGGAAGAGGGAGAGAAUAAAAAGGGAGAGAGAGAGAGGGGAGGGUUAGUCGAAUGGGC
RNAcentral lists this long non-coding RNA (1286 nucleotides) under Eucalyptus grandis. RNAcentral describes it as "long non-coding RNA (EGRA_LNC004355)". Lineage: Eukaryota; Viridiplantae; Streptophyta; Magnoliopsida; Myrtales; Myrtaceae. The record is from RNAcentral.